GGAAUUUCAGGUUCUCUUUGAUUUGUUUCCAAUGUCCAGAGGGUAGAUUCUACCUUGAAAUUCUCAUUGGCCAAUGGAGUGUCAUCUCUUGAGAUUCAACAGCAUAUAUGACAGCAGAGGAGUGCUAACACUGCCAACAUCCUUUGUGAGCUGAAUCUGACCAGAUUUCUGUGCUGACCAAUAUCACUGAAUUUGGAAUGAUGGGACCCCUGGUCUUUGCCAUCUUCUUGCUACUGCUUUCAGGGACCAAAAUGUCCCCAAAACCAAGAAAAUGGUGUGAUUCUCUGGAAUACGAGGACUUUGCUCUUUCAAAUACCAGAACUGGGGAGUCUGAAUCAUGGAGCAAAGCCUACUUCAACCAUGGAGUAGUCUACAUAUAUGAGAACUACCAGCAGAGGGCAAAACCUCAUUUCGGAUGGGAAAAUGUGGAGAACUGGGAUGAGGUGAGCAAACUUCAGAAAGAGAGACAAGAUUUCAUCAUGAAGGACUUUCAAGAAUUCCUAAACUCCAAAAAAGAUAAGAAAGGUUUAUAUUUCUUUAAAAGAGGUUUUGGCUGUUCACUUUGUCCAAAUCGCACUUUCAAGGUAACUGGGUAUUGGGAUUGGGAUACAAGUGGUACCCUGGGUACCUUUACGCAUACAGAGUACCAGUUAACAAAAGAUUCUGAAGCUGAAAUGAACCAAGACCCAGGUGCUGUAAUUCUACCCGAAGAAUAUCUGGAGAAACAGUGUUUUGCAACACUCCAAAAAUACCGGAAUUAUAGGAAUGCUUACUAGGACAAACCAGGUAAUCUGUCUACCUCCUGUUGUUACACUUACUAUGAUUGGGUAACUUUCGAGGCUGGGAACAACACCCUGAACACUAGAUGGCCUAAAAUUGACUCAUAUUUUAAAGCCUGAAGAUUUCCUCCCUCUCAAAAUUCUAUUAAUCAUGGAAAAAUGGGGCUUGAAAAUAUGAAUUCAGACAACUCUAUAGGUCUCUUGGAAUUGAGAUAACAAUCCUUAUCAACUGAGGGCUCCUGGGCAUUGUGAGAGUCACAGGAAAACAUAGAGGCUUAGAUGGGAAGAAUAAUGAAAUAAGAAAAAGAAACCUCCCAUUACAAGCCUCAGCCCUUCUUGUUUCUCUUCAUUCAUCAUAUAUCAGCUUUUCAAUAGGAACCCUGUCCCCCUUCUUAAGCACCUCUUAUGUAGCUUCUGAUGGGAAUCCCCAGGCUACACAGGAAAUCAAACCAUGUCAUUGACCCAUUCCCCAAAGUCAUUCCUCUCUGAGAGCUUAGAGGCAGCUAAGUGGUGCCCUGGAUAGAGUCCUCGGCCUGGAGUCAGGAAGAUUUGAGACUGAAUCAGGUCUCAUUCGUUUAGAGCUGAUGUGACCUUUGGGAAGCUACUGUUUCCUUCAGUGUAAUGAGGAUAAGGAUAGCACCUACCUCCCUAAAUUGGUGUGAGGAAUAAAUCAGAUAACAUUUACAAUUGCUGAGAAAAUACUGGUGAUUAACAAACACUUGUUCCUUUCCAUUUUUCAUUUAUGUUGUUUCUCAUCUGCAAUGAGCUUCCAUCCUCCUACUUAGCUAAUGCUUUCCUACUCUUUAAGACUUGUUUCAAAUCCCUCCAGAACUCUCCCUUUUCUAAAGUUUCCUCCCAUGUUAUGGUCAUUUUUACUUCAUUUAGAAACAUCCUUCUGAAUGUUUUCCUGAAUAUAAGAGCAGGGAUCACACCCUCCCUUUCCUUGCACCCUCUCAGUAAGCAGGGGUAUUGAUACUAGAAGAGGCUGAAUAAGUGUUUGCUUUUUUAACUGAAAAUUUCAUAUGUAAGGGGGAAAGGCAGGCGAUUUGGUGCAGAGGAGAAGAAAAUGUGGAAUAAUUUCUGUGGGGAAGCUACAACUUAUUGGAAAAAAUGAAUUUGAGUAGAUACUAUGCAGAAACUGAUUUGGGAUAAUAUGUGAAAGUAAAGGAAGAAUAGUGAGAAGGACAGAGUCCAGAGGAAGUUGGUGGUGGAAGCAAUGUUGGAGUUGAAGGUGAGAAACUAGGACAUGCUGGGAGAACUGUGAGAGCUACAGAUAACUGCUCAGAGGAGGAGAGGCAAGAAGAGAAAGAAGUCAUAAAUAAUAAAUGAACCACUUGGCUAAAGUAUAUGUUUCAACAGAUGGCCAAGAGUGAGGAGACCUUAGCAAUGAUGAUCUCUUAAAGUCAGCUUUAGGGAAAAAGAGCAGCUGUGCAGGUUUUCGCCUCCAUGAUGACUUCCCUCAACUAUACUGUCACUCACUGUUGUAAAAAUGGAGACUUGAAGCCAGGACUCCAGUCCCCAGAAGUCCUUGCUCAGUUCCCAGAAUGCUUUGUAAUUACACUGAAUUCUCACCUGGGAGAGAUCACAAAUUAUUAUUUAAAGGAGUUCUCCACCUCCUGAAGGGCUAUUUUUCCUACCAUCUGCUUUGGGGCACACGCUGCUCUCCACCUAGCAGGAAAGAUGUGAGUGGUUGUGCUUUUCUUACUUGUAUUUUCUUAAAUUCCUUAUCUUAAAUAAAACUGUUAAAAAUAUAAUACUCCUUGCAGAGAGAAACUAAUUUCUACCUGCCUCAGUUUCCCCCCAAAUUUUAAUCUUUACAGUUAUUGUGACCACUAGAUUGGAUGAGAACUUCUCAAAUUUUUUAGCCUAGAAAUUUUUUUUAAAGCCACGUUUCUCUAAGAUGCUUUUUAAGAAAACCCCGCUUUGGACUUCCUUGAGCCCUUUCCUUAGCCCAGCUGGACUUGGCCUGGCUGCGUUCCUGCCUCUGCCCCAGACUAGUUUGCUGUUUGACCCAGAUUGCAGCUCACCUGCCCACCCUGGCUGCCCACUCCUGCUCCAGCUGCUGCUCCUGGUCUUUCUCUUGAUCACCCUGUCCCUGUUUAACCCAGAUCAAGAUCACCUCAUGACCUGACUGCCCAACAAACUCUAGCCUUGGAGCAGAUCACUCAUUAUCCAGGACUGAUUUCUAAUAGCUGGUAAAAAAACGGGGGUAUUGGCGGAGGAUCGUAGGAGGGGAGAGAGAAAAGGGAGAGAAGAAGAAAGACUUUCCGAACAGGAACAUAAAAGCAUGGCUAUUUUAUAAGGAUAUCUUUUAAUUGCAUUGAUCCUUUUAUUGACUUCACCUGUGUGUCAGAAAAAAAUUCAGCUCCCUACAUCCCUUUAGCUAACUUUGGGCAGGCAGCUGGGUAUCUUAGCGAACUGAGAGCCAGGCCUAGAGAGGGCAGGUCCUGGGUUGGAAUCUGGCCUCAGACACUUGCUGGCGGCAUGGCCCUGAGCAGGUCAUUUAACCCCCAUUGCUGAACCGCUUUCCUGCCUUCUGACAAUAGGCAUCUAAAUGGAUAAAAACCCAAAGAACGCUAAAGAGACCAGAGGUUAUAUUUUUAAGGCAUUUCAGACUCCAAUGUUUUAUAAAGAUCUCUGUAUUUCUAUUGUAUUUUACUGUUUGCUUUGUUUAUGGAUUUAACUUUGUGAUUUUAAGUUCAUAUAUUCUGCACUCAAGAUUAUUCCAUUACACUGAAUUAUUUUAUGUAGUCAAGGCAUUGCCGUAAAGGCAGAACCAUAAGGGUUAAGUCUCCUCUUCUCUCUGUUUGGGCUGCAUAGUCAGGGUCGUGGGUUGAACUGUGUACGACCUGCCCAGCUAUGUGCUCAAGGUUGGAGUAGCAUCAGAGGGAGGAGUGAUAAGGUUUGUGAGAAAGAAACUGUAAGGUUGGAGUAGCCAGCAGAGGACUGAUAAGGGUUGUGAGAAAUUGUGAGAGACUGUGGGAAAGUUGCUUCUCUGUCUGUUUGGAAUCCUCUCAGUUCUUCCCUGUGCCUGGCAGGUAACGUCAUGAAUUUCUAUGAAUCUGUCCAAUUAUUGGUUCCUGCUGUUGCUGGGCAGUAACAUCAUAUCUUCCUGUGGUCUUAACCUAUAUAUUGCUUUGUUUGAACUCAAUAAAGGGUUGUUAUGCUUUUUCAUAUAGCUUCCAUUCAUCACUCUGUAUGUUCAUUACCCCAGGCAAGGUCACGAUGAGCCUUGCAAUUUUAAUGUACUGAGUUUUAACUACUGUUAAAUUCUAUUGCUUUUCCCCCAUAACCACAUUGAACAAAUAUCAUUGUAAUUAAGCUCAUAUAUGAAAAUAGCCGUUCUAUUUUUGCCUUUGUAAAUUGUCACAUAGAGGAUGGAUGGACUUCAUCAGAACUGGUUACAAUUGUAUAACAACCUUUGGAAAAUUUAAUGUGCUAAAUAUCUCAACGAAUUUUAAGGAUUUUCUCGACAUGGUUUUUAGAAUUUUUUCUUAACAAUCUCUGGUCAUUUUUGCCUGCCCUUACAAUGAGGUGUACAGCCCAUUCUAGUAGCUGAAGUGAAAUACAAUUAUAACCCCCAACCUUCCUGCAUUUCUAAAUAUGUGAAUGGAUGUUGGGGCAUUUAAUUUCAGGUCAUUUGUAUCCCUAAAAAAGCCUCCAAAAAGGAGCACCCCUCAUUUAUACUAUUCAGCCCACUACUUUACUUCCCCGAGAAUGAUCUCUAGAUUUCUUGAUGAUGUUCUAAAUCCAACAUAAAUUUUACUUUGUUUAAAAAUAUGUUUAUUUAUUACCAAGGUUGAAAGAUUUGCUAUGUCUGUAAUAACUUGUGACAAGUAUCCAUUUAAAAAAAUGCCAUACAGCAACUUAUGUGAAAUAUGAUAGUGUGUUUGUUUGCUAUUGUAAUUAAUUAGGCUAUUGAGAAUUUUGGGGAUAUUGAUAACUACAUAUUUGUACUACUGUUUUUUUAAAAAUGAAAAAUGUUACUUUGUUCAAUUCAUUUGCUCAUACUCACAGUGGAUCAUGGCCAGAUAUGAAGAGGAAAUGGAUCUCAUUUUGGUGAGAAAGCCUUGCAUUCUAUAUUUUCUUAGCUGACAUAGUGUGUCAAUGAUAUAAGCUAUACUUUUAUUUUUAAAACUCUUUUAUUAUAUUUUUCUUUCAUGUGCAAUAUACUAUUUCAGUUUUUUAAUUUUUCUCUCCUUUUUAUAUUUGACACCAGUAUUAAGUUUUUCUUUAACUUUCUGAUUUUUCAGUAAUAUAAGUUUAAAAUACAUUUGCUAAUGCAUGCCCCUAAAGCUUGAGACUAUAAAAUGAUUCCACUAAUUAUUUAAAAAAAAUUAUGGGUCUUUGCUUAAUAAUUCUGUCUGAUUCCAGGAAAAGAUAUACACAAAAGAGCCAUUGCAUAGGGCCAAAGAAAAGCCAACCCAGGAUGGAUUGAUGCACUACUAAGCCAAUACAAAGGUCUUGAACCUAGUGUGAAGACUCGAGGUUACUGUGUUUAACAUUGUUAAGACAUAGGCUUUCCUUGUGUCCACACUCACUCUGAAAAUAUUUACAGAUGAGUAUCCCCAAUCUUGGCUCCUACUUGGCUUCUAUAAUCUGGUUCCUUUUUUCUGUCUUUCACAGUGUGGUAAUUUUCUGUAGUCCCAGCUGGGUAAAUGCAUCAUUGCUUCGAUCAUUUUAAUUGGGCCCUGAUUCAAGGACCUGUUAUAGAUAUAUUUUUCUUUUAUUUGGAAUUUUUACACAUAAGACUUUGAUAGUCUAUAUUUGCAUCCAGAAAUUUUUCUUUUUUCUUUGGAUUGUUCUGAUGUCUUUUUAAUUUCUCUUACCAAUUGGCUCAUAUACCUCAUACCUCAGCCAUGCAUCCAUAAGUGAUCCUGUGUUUUUUUUUUUUCCAAUCACCCACAACACAAGGGAAAUGUAAAAAAUGUUAUUUAAAUUGCAAAGUUUAAACUCCUUUUGAGAAGAAUUUCAGGAAAAGAAAGAUACUACCUCUCUGAAUCCAGAAACUAAAAUGUUGGAGAAGAAACCAUGAAGAAGCCUCCAGACCACAAGCUGCACAAGAAUGAACUUUGGGUGUAAUUGAUUGAAUUUUUUGAAAAUAAUUGAUUGAACUUGAUUGAAUUGAUUGAUUUGUAGUAUACUUUCAUGCCAAAGGGGACUUCCCCCUAACUGGCUUUUUGUCAAUGCAUCCAGCAAUUAUUGGUUCUGUCCUUUUUUUCUCUUAUCCUCAAAUUAUUGUAAUCUUUAAGUUGAUUAUAUUUUCAUGAUCCUUUUGGGGAAAAUAUUUUUUUUCAAAAAUGAUCACACGGGAAAAUUUAAAAAUGGAGACUUGAACCCAGGACUCCAGUCCCCAGAAGUCCUUGCUCACUUCCCAGAAUGCUUUGUAAUUCCACUGAAUCUUUACCUGGGCGAGAUCACAAAUUAUUAUUUAAAGAAGUUCUCCACCUACUCCAGGGCUCUUUUUUCUACUUCUGCUUCUGCUUUAGGGAACACAAGGCUCUCCACCUAGCAGGAAAUAUGUUAGCAAUCAUGAAUAGGCUCUCUGGGCCUAGACAUGUGCUUUUUUUACUAGUAUUUUCUUAAAUUCCUUAUCUUAAAUAAAACUCUAAAAAUAUAAUACUCCUUGCAGAGAGAAAAUAAUUUCUACCUGCCUCAGUUUUGUGACAAGGAAAUCACAUUAAAAUACUGAUAUAUAUUAAUUUAAGGUCGCCAAGGAAUUCAGCUAUGUAAUUCCUAAAUGAAAACUCAAGUCAGCAGUCAACCUUUUAUGGAGUUUUUAAUUACAAACAGGAGGAAUAAAGGUAUUAGAGAUAGAGAGAGAGAGGGAGAGAGAAAGGGGAGAGAAGGGAAUAGGGCUUAAAUACCCCUUCUGUUUAGGCUGGGCCAAAAGGCCCAAGCCCUUAGAUAGCUGAGGCAAAGAAAAGAGAUCAGUCCCUAUCACUCACGUGACCAAAAUGGAGAAACAGUCUCAGGGUCCUCCACCUCCAGCUUCCUUCAGAGCAAGCUUCUCCGAGCACAACCUCUCCAACCAACAACCCUAGUCCUCAGACCCUGCUAUCUUUAAGGAAACCAUCCAAGUUCCCUCCCCUCAGUUCUCACAUCUACCAAUCACUGUCCAUGUCUUCCCUGUGCCAAUGGUGGUUCUACCUUAACCCAGGACCACCCAGAGGUCUGUGGCUUUGCACAUGUCUGUUGAAGGCCAUAUUCUCAAGUAAUUAAAUCUUGAUCCUUUGCUACAGCCCUUCCUAAAUCCUGUUACCCUGAGUAGGGUGGAGAUUGGAAUAAUUAAAUUUUGUUCUAUGCUGCAGCCCUUUCUAAAUCCUGUUACCCUGAGUAGGGUGGAAAUUGGAAUAAUUAAAUUUUGAUUUAUGCUGUAGCCCUUUCCAUUAUUCAGCAAAAGGUUUCUGUCCUAAAGUAAUCAAUGCCAAUGGGGUUCACAUUCCAAUGGUGAAAUUUCCAACAUUCACAAGUCUAAGAAAUUUUAAGGUUUACAGUUUUCCCCCCAAAUUUAAUCUUUAUACUGUUCCCUGUCAUUGGAUUUCCAGUCAAGAGGACUAUACAGAUCCUGAUCCUUCCAAGGGAGGACUUAUGAUAUGCGAGAAACAACACUAAGAUGAAUCAAGUAUAUAUCAUUAUAAAAUGAAAUAA
This is a non-coding RNA of Monodelphis domestica (gray short-tailed opossum), 7430 nucleotides long. The record is from RefSeq and is a predicted model, not a curated record. NCBI's taxonomy places the organism in Eukaryota, Metazoa, Chordata, Mammalia, Didelphimorphia, Didelphidae.